UUACCUUCCUCACACACUCGGUUAACAUCACUUGUUCACCAUUCUCUUACAAUCCGAGAUUCAUUCUGUCGCGACAUACCAUCAUUCCGAUGCAACCUCACACACUCACGUUUCGAACCCCCUUGUAUCUCGCCGGAGUUUGAACAUUCACCGGAGAACUCGUAGACGGAAUUCGAAGCACACGCCGGAGCCACUGAAGACUACGGACCUCGCGACAGUAAUCGUUUUCAUCUCGAAGAUGACGAAGUCUAGCACCUAUUCAAAAGUUGAAUGUUCAAGAUGAUG
RNAcentral lists this long non-coding RNA (285 nucleotides) under Helianthus annuus (common sunflower). Its description in RNAcentral is "sRNA HanXRQr2_Chr05g0204801". The record is from RNAcentral. Lineage: Eukaryota; Viridiplantae; Streptophyta; Magnoliopsida; Asterales; Asteraceae.